Molecule: ribosomal RNA, 254 nt
Filed under: uncultured bacterium
Lineage: Bacteria
Description: partial 16S ribosomal RNA
Rfam family: Bacterial small subunit ribosomal RNA
Source: RNAcentral
UACAGAGGUGGCAAGCGUUGUUCGGAAUUACUGGGCGUAAAGGGCGCGUAGGCGGCCUUCUAAGUCAGACGUGAAAUCCCUCGGCUUAACCUGGGAACUGCGUCUGAUACUGGGAGGCUAGAGUGCGGGAGAGGGAUGCGGAAUUCCAGGUGUAGCGGUGAAAUGCGUAGAUAUCUGGAGGAACACCGGUGGCGAAGGCGGCAUCCUGGACCAACACUGACGCUGAGUGAGCGAAAGCCAGGGGAGCAAACGGG